RNAcentral lists this long non-coding RNA (1222 nucleotides) under Oryctolagus cuniculus (rabbit). RNAcentral describes it as "lncRNA (ENSOCUG00000035941.1)". Lineage: Eukaryota; Metazoa; Chordata; Mammalia; Lagomorpha; Leporidae. The record is from RNAcentral.
UCCUGUUUUCUGUUGGUGAUGUGAACUGACUUUGUGCAUUUUGUGUUCUGAUUUCUGUUCAUUUGAUUUCUGUUUGUUUCAUCUUCGUUUGUGCUCAAGUAGUCAGAGCUGUAGGAGCUGAUCUGUGUCAGCUGCUGGCUCGGGGUCUCCCAGACGUCAGCCCUGCUGACCCUUCCUGGGGGAGCCCUGGAGACGGAGAGGAAUCCGGAGGAAGAAUCGGAUCCUGCUGCUCCUGUUGGGUCAAAUUUGUUUUUCUUUUUCCAUUUUUGAUUACUUUGUCCUUUUUCUAUUUUCUUUUGUUUCCAACCACCAUUCAUAAUCAUUUUGUGUUUUCUCAUUUAACAUUUUAUUCCACUAGAGGAGUCUCCGUGGUUGGUCUGGUUUAGUGGAUACAGUUCAUGUUUUCUGUUGGUGAUGGGAGCAGAGUGAGUUUGUUCAUUUUUGUGUUUUGAUUUCUGUUCAUUUGAUUUCUGUUGUUGCAUUUUCAUUUGUGCACCACUCGUCUCCCUUCCUGGGAGCCCCGGGAGAGGGAGAAGAAUCCCGAGGCCAGAAUCGCAUCCUGGAUGGGGACUUCCCGGGGAGGGACUGCCUGCUGUCCCCCAAGCCCUCUUUGUCCCCAGAGGUUCCUGCGUCUCUUGGCAGAGCAGGGCAGGAGGUGUCCAUGGCGGCUCCUGGACAGAGCUGAGAAGGCUGUCAGGUGGGAUAGGUGCUGUCUGCACGGGGGAGGGAGAAAGGGUUUUCACUGGGAAUUCAGCCUGCAGGGGACUCAGCUGUGGCGCCUCUGUGUGCAGGGGAGGGGCCAUGGCAGUGCGGGCCCUUCUGUCCUGUGCACAGGGGCUCUGCUGGCCUGUCUGUGGUGGCUCUCCAAGAUUCAAGACCCAAAGAAGCCCCGGAAACCUGAUCUGCACCAGCAAGAAGACUUCCUGUGGAAGGACCUCUUGGUGGUCACCACGAGCAUCCACGGGAAGAUGGACUCCGAGACGCCCAGCUCAGUAUCCUCGCCCUUCCUGAAGAGGUGUUGAAUGUCCCUCGUCCUCGCUGCCCCCAGACAGGACCCUGUGGCUUCUCUGGCUGCCCCCAGGAGAAACGAUCGACCACCAUGAGAAGAACUCCAACACCCCAUCUUCAGAAUCCUCGCCCUUCCAGAAGAGGUGUUGAAUGUCCCUCAUCCUCACUGCCCCCUGAACAGGACCUCGUGGCUUCUCUGGCUGCCCAGAGGUCA